UUGACGUUGCGCACGCGGAUGGUAGUUCCUCUCUUGUAUUUCUUCUCGAAGGGCUUCCUCUUGAUUGCGCCUUUCGCGAUUGCGGUUGGCGAUAGCUCGACUUGAUGCUUGAAGGGCACGUUCCGCCUCAAGAGCUUGUGCUUCUCGUUGUUGUUGUUGAAGACGUUGAGCCUCUGCGUCUUGUUGCUCUUGGUGUAGGCGCGCUCGUUCUUGUUCUUGUUGGUGACGAAGACGUUGUCGUUCUUGAGCUUGAGCAAACGCCACUUGGUUUGAUUGUGGACGAGGAACUUGUUCAUCAACUUGUUCUUGGGAAUGCUUGUCGUGUAGCGGGUUGCGAGAUGCAUGAUGGUCUUGACGCGCGGCUCGUCGAAGAGUGUUCGAUGACGGUGUACUUGUGUCGGAGAAGGAGUCGUCGGAGUGGCGACUUGAGUGGCUCCGUCUUGAGUGUGAGGAAGUAGAAGGACGCCGAUUCACCAACAAGGCGUGGAUCUCGUCCAUUCUUGCAUCGUUCUCUUUCUUGUGCGCGUCGAGUUUGUUGUCGAAGUAGUCUCUUGUACGUUGCUCGGAGAGUCGCAAGUCGGUGGCGAGGUUGUCGAUGCGUUUGCUCAUUGCUUGUUGCUCUUGAUGGAGAGCUCGUUGUGCGCCAAAGAGGUGGCUCUUGGUGACGUAUGAUGACAUGUCGUCGUCUUGCUCGAUGAAGAGUGGAUUUGUAGAAGAACUUGGCCUAUCCAUCAUUUCAAACAAAUUGUGAGUGGUAGAAGGAGAAGAACUAAUACCAAUGUACCUUUGACCGAAGUUGAAGAUGAAUCAAGUUCACUCAAAUGCGGACAAUGAAAUAGCACUAUUGGUACCGAUCCUUGUCGAUUCUCACACCUACACAAGUAAAAGCUUUUGGUGGAGCUUGGUUAGGAUGGUGGCACAAAAUUGAUUGCAAUCGUUAGCUUGACUCAAAAAUGUUGAAGAAGAUUCACAAAUUCGCAUAUGCAACAAGUAGACCAAGCAAGUAGUGGUACACGGAAACACACACGCAAAUAGAUAAAUGGGAUUGUGCAAACCAAAAGUGAGCCAAAAUGUGGAAUCCACGAAAAUGCUCUUGUUGCACAAUACUAGAGAGACGCUAGCACGAUUGCACAAUAGGCGGAUACGGAGCUUGUGCACUACCUACUAGGCAAAAAUGCAACGAUCUCUAUCCCAAGUAUGCUAUAUGUAUGGUAUUUCGGUGCAAUGAUCCAAGAUGAUCUUAUAUGACAAUCUUAAUGUUGUAUGAUGCUAUGCUUGUUGCUUAUAAGCUCUUUGCUUAUCUUUCCUCUUUUCUUAAAAGCUUGAGUGGCUCUUUCUAUUUUGAGCUCUUUUCUUAUGCAAACUUGAAGAACCAAGAUAGCAAUUGUGUAUGCGAUGACAACUUUGUGACACACAAGUUGAUUCCAAGAUAUGCACCACGAUGGUAUGUAUGAUAUGGUGUAUGCAACUAAUGUGCACAAGUCACGUUGCCGGCAAUACUCAAUGGCUAGUCUCGAUGGGUAAGCAACGCAAAAGAUGGUCUAUGAUGGUUAUCAAUGCAAUUGCAAGGUAUGACAAAGAUGUCGUCGAAGUUACCAUCCGUAGCGAAGAUGAGUAGUCGACGAAAAUAAGCGUUUGUAGUUGAUGUCUCACCGCACCUAAAUAGCCGAAACACAAUAGGACACGGAAAUCUCAACUCAAAUUCUCGAACUCAAAUUCGAAUGGUAGUACGGAGGUUGUGUCGUGUGGUUUUGGCAAGUGGAAGUGGUGGUGGUUGGGGUGGGUAGGUGGUAUGUAGGUUUAGGUGGUGGUGGUGGUGGAGGGGGACUGCACAAGUGCAGUUUCGGCAGAGGAAGCCGGAUGAUCCGGGCCAGGAGCCGGAUGAUCCGGGCACGUCCGGAUGAUCCGGGUCGGAGUCCGGAUGAUCCGGGUAGGUCAACCUCGCACGGGAACUGCUCGGGAAGAACACGAAAACGGGGAGAAAUUUGACGAUUUCGGGGAUUUUGGAUGGAUUUCGAGGGGGAGAAGGUGGGGAAAAGCAAGAUCCACGAGUUACACACCGAAUCCACGGAUCAAAAACAACAAAACAUCAUCAAAACCAACAAAUCACAAAAAAAUUUGGGGGGUAUUUUUGUGGGGAUUUUCGGAUUUUAGGACGAAAACAACAAAAUCAAGCUAGAAAACACGGGGUAGGGGCUCCAAAAACAUGAUCAACAUGGCUCAUGAUACCAUAUGAUGUAGGGUGGAACCCUAUAGCAUCGAUCUUUCACGUUUGGAGUGGAUCCUACGGGAGAAACACGAAGAACGCGCGGAAGAACACGAGGAAAUCACGGGGAAGAACGAGAGAGACACUCAAUCGACAAGAGAUCAAUCACACAAGGUCUAGAUCAUCGAAGCACGAGUAACACAUGGUCCAAAAUCAACAAAUGAAAGAUACAAAG
This 2441-nucleotide long non-coding RNA is filed under the name Triticum aestivum (bread wheat). RNAcentral describes it as "long non-coding RNA (TAES_LNC007041)". Lineage: Eukaryota; Viridiplantae; Streptophyta; Magnoliopsida; Poales; Poaceae. The record is from RNAcentral.